Molecule: ribosomal RNA, 253 nt
Filed under: uncultured bacterium
Lineage: Bacteria
Description: partial 16S ribosomal RNA
Rfam family: Bacterial small subunit ribosomal RNA
Source: RNAcentral
UACGAAGGGGGCUAGCGUUGCUCGGAAUUACUGGGCGUAAAGGGAGCGUAGGCGCACAUUUAAGUCAGGGGUGAAAUCCCGAGGCUCAACCUCGGAACUGCCUUUGAUACUGGAUGUCUUGAGUGUGAGAGAGGUGAGUGGAACUCCGAGUGUAGAGGUGAAAUUCGUAGAUAUUCGGAAGAACACCAGUGGCGAAGGCGACUCACUGGCUCAUUACUGACGCUGAGGCUCGAAAGCGUGGGGAGCAAACAGG